GUAGCAUGAACGCCUCAGACAGCGAGGAGGACUCGUAAACGAGAGGUCGGCUCUGGUGGAGAGCCCCCCCUCCCCUCCUACAGACCCGACCCCCCAUCGACCCCCCCGACAAGAGGCAGGGGCUCAGCAGGAGGUCUGCCUCUCCGCAGGGGGUCCAGGGGGUCUCUGAAGAGGAGGAAGAGGAGGAGCUGACCUUAAAGUACGGAGCGAAGCAUGUGAUCAUGCUCUUCGUCCCGGUGACGCUGCAUGAUCGUCGUCGUGGCAACCAUCAAGUCCGUCAGCUUUACACGGAGAAGACGGACCAGCAGCUGAUCUACACCCCUUCUCAGAGAACGUGUCCUCGGUGGGCCGGCGCCUCCUGAACUCGGUUCUGAACACGAUCAUCAUGAUCAGCGUCAUCGUGGUGAUGACCG
This is a long non-coding RNA of Gymnodraco acuticeps, 413 nucleotides long. RefSeq lists it as uncharacterized. The transcript has 3 exons. Lineage: Eukaryota; Metazoa; Chordata; Actinopteri; Perciformes; Bathydraconidae. The record is from RefSeq and is a predicted model, not a curated record.